This 21-nucleotide non-coding RNA is filed under the name Arabidopsis thaliana (thale cress). Lineage: Eukaryota; Viridiplantae; Streptophyta; Magnoliopsida; Brassicales; Brassicaceae. The record is from RNAcentral.
UGGUAAUUACAACGAGGACUA